RNAcentral lists this small nucleolar RNA (143 nucleotides) under Ochotona princeps (American pika). RNAcentral describes it as "Small nucleolar RNA SNORA74 (ENSOPRG00000023095.1)". Lineage: Eukaryota; Metazoa; Chordata; Mammalia; Lagomorpha; Ochotonidae. The record is from RNAcentral.
CUCAGUUGUAGGCAACUUCCUUGGUUGCCUUGUACCUAGGCAAGUGUUACACUGCUGAGAGAAAAGCAGCCAAUAGCUGCAGGCAUGCUGGACCUACUUAGUACUAAAUUUGUGUUUAGUAUACCAGUAUCCCAGCAUAGCUG